RNAcentral lists this ribosomal RNA (250 nucleotides) under uncultured bacterium. RNAcentral describes it as "partial 16S ribosomal RNA". It matches the Rfam family "Bacterial small subunit ribosomal RNA", at positions 57 to 305 of the family's 1533-position model. The record is from RNAcentral.
GCAAGUCGAGCGGAAACGAUGAUAGCUUGCUAUCAGGCGUCGAGCGGCGGACGGGUGAGUAACGCGUAGGAACCUGCCCGAUAGAGGGGGAUAGCCAUUGGAAACGAUGAUUAAUACCGCAUAAUGUCUACGGACCAAAGAAGGGGAUCUUCGGACCUUUCGCUAUCGGAUGGGCCUGCGUAGGAUUAGCUAGUUGGUGGGGUAAUGGCCUACCAAGGCGACGAUCCUUAGCUGGUCUGAGAGGAUGAUC